UACGAAGGGGGCUAGCGUUGCUCGGAAUCACUGGGCGUAAAGCGCACGUAGGCGGACUCUUAAGUCGGUGGUGAAAUCCUGGAGCUCAACUCCAGAACUGCCUUCGAUACUGGGAGUCUUGAGUCCGAGAGAGGUGAGUGGAACUGCGAGUGUAGAGGUGAAAUUCGUAGAUAUUCGCAAGAACACCAGUGGCGAAGGCGGCUCACUGGCUCGGUACUGACGCUGAGGUGCGAAAGCGUGGGGAGCAACAGG
This 252-nucleotide ribosomal RNA is filed under the name uncultured bacterium. RNAcentral describes it as "partial 16S ribosomal RNA". It matches the Rfam family "Bacterial small subunit ribosomal RNA", at positions 524 to 775 of the family's 1533-position model. The record is from RNAcentral.